AAAGACUCUUGGUGCAAAUCCAAGCAAGAACU
This 32-nucleotide transfer RNA is filed under the name Chrosomus eos (northern redbelly dace). Its description in RNAcentral is "partial tRNA-Leu". The record is from RNAcentral. Lineage: Eukaryota; Metazoa; Chordata; Actinopteri; Cypriniformes; Leuciscidae.